This 1257-nucleotide long non-coding RNA is filed under the name Nothobranchius furzeri (turquoise killifish). RNAcentral's name for it is "lncRNA (ENSNFUG00015011101.1)". Lineage: Eukaryota; Metazoa; Chordata; Actinopteri; Cyprinodontiformes; Nothobranchiidae. The record is from RNAcentral.
AUGAACAGAAAAGCUAAAGAAAAGGUGGUGACGUCAGGAAGGCUCACAGGUACCGCCGGGAGGAGAGCCACUCCUGAUCCAGGACCAGCUGCCUGGCCUGAGCCACGUGACUCCCUUUACUCCACAAACUCCGAUCAGGUCACUACUCUUCACAAGGGUCUGGACCAGUGUGCUGCCUUGCUCAGUGGCAUUCUCCAGGCAGAGAAGGCAGACCUUCGGCACUCAGAACCAGACACUCGUAGACCAGCUCCUCCAGCUCUUCUGUCAAGACAAAAGCUACACCCGUCUCCCUCUGCUGCUCAGAACCAAACCCCUCGGCCCCCACUCAGCUUGGUCCCUCCACCUCAGACCUCCGUCCACGUCCAGACCAGCUGCCCUUCUGGUCCUGAAGUUCCACGUUCCACGACAGAGUGGGAUGGACUAAAGGAAGUUCCCGUCAAAGACUCUGAUGUCCAGGUCCCACAUGAAGACUCCCAUACCACGAUGGGGCUAAACCUGCAGGUAGAUCCUGGAGUCCCUGAGAACUCGUCCGUCAGAGGGGAGGACAGCCGGAGGACAGAAGCAGAGACGAUUGAUUGUCUGCUGGGAGAACUCAAAGCUCUGAUUGCUGGUCAAGGCAGUGUAGCAGAGAGGCUGCUCCUCCGUCUGGAGCAGGUUGUGUCUUCACAGAUAAAUGUCGGUUGUUCAAACGUCCCAACAGGAAGUCCAUCAGAUCCAUCAUGGCUGCCGGGUCAGAGUGCUCACCUGUGCAGGUGUGUGAAGAUUUCUGGCAAGGCGGAUGAACACCAGAAACAGGAACUACUUUCCAACUUAGGAGCGGUGAGUCUGAAGGAGGACCUUCUGGCUGCUCAGUCCAGACUCCAGGAGCUCCAGGAGGACUUCACAGAGCUACGGAAAGCCCUCCAGGACACCCAGAGCCAGCUGAGGGACAAAGAAGAGGAGAACACACUCCUAAAGACAGACCUGAAGGCCACCAGAGAACAUCUGCAGCAAACGCAGCAACAGAAGAUGGAGCUAGCCUCGCUCGCCCAGCAGAGACUAGAGGAGAUAGGAGCCCUUCAGAGAUGUCUUCAGAGUCAGAAGAGAUCAGAUGAGGUCCGCCAGUCUCCUGAACAGGACCCACCAGCGCCCCCCAGUGACCUGAUCAAACACUACCUGAUGUCUUUGAGCCAGGUGGAGCACACACACCCAGGGCUGCCUGUCCAGGUCAGAGGUCAUCCAGCCUCAUGGGCGAGUGAUGGACAUGUCUACCUGUGA